GAAUCCCGUCUUUGGCACGGAUGUACCGGGGCUUUUGUGAUGCGCUCUCGAAGAGUCGAGUUGUUUGGGAAUGCAGCUCAAAAUGGGUGGUGAACUCCAUCUAAAGCUAAAUAUUGGCGAGAGACCGAUAGCGAACAAGUACCGUGAGGGAAAGAUGAAAAGAACUUUGGAAAGAGAGUUAAACAGUACGUGAAAUUGCUGAAAGGGAAACGCUUGAAGUCAGUCGCGUCGGCUAGAAAUCAACCUUGCUUUUGCUUGGUGUACUUUCUUGUUGAUGGGUCAGCAUCAAUUUUGACCGUUGGAUAAAGUCGUUGGGAAUGUGGCAUCUUAGGAUGUGUUAUAGCCCAUCGUCGCAUACAGCGGUUGGGAUUGGGGAACUCAGCACGCCCUUCUGGGGACGGGUUUCGACCACGUUUCGUGCUUAGGAUGCUGGCAUAAUGGCUUUAAUCGACCCGUCUUGAAACACGGACCAAGGAGUCUAACAUGCCUGCGAGUGUUUGGGUGGAAAACCCAUGCGCGCAAUGAAAGUGAAAGUUGAGAUCCCCUCAAGGGGAGCAUCGACGCCCGGACCAGAGCUUCUGUGACGGAUCCGCGGUAGAGCAUGUAUGUUGGGACCCGAAAGAUGGUGAACUAUGCCUGAAUAGGGUGAAGCCAGAGGAAACUCUGGUGGAGGCUCGUAGCGAUUCUGACGUGCAAAUCGAUCGUCAAAUUUGGGUAUAGGGGCGAAAGACUAAUCGAACCAUCUAGUAGCUGGUUCCUGCC
Molecule: ribosomal RNA, 762 nt
Filed under: uncultured Inocybe
Lineage: Eukaryota; Fungi; Basidiomycota; Agaricomycetes; Agaricales; Cortinariaceae
Description: partial 28S ribosomal RNA
Rfam family: Eukaryotic large subunit ribosomal RNA
Source: RNAcentral